CAGAGUUGCAAAACUCCCACAAACCAUCGCGGAUCUUACCCGUACGGUUGCCUCGGCGCUGGCGGUCCGGAAGGCCCUCGGGCCCCCCGGAUCCUCGGGUCUCCCGCUCGCGGGAGGCUGCCCGCCGGAGUGCCGAAACCAAACUCUUGAUAUUUUAUGUCUCUCUGAGUAAACUUUUAAAUAAGUCA
Molecule: unclassified non-coding RNA, 188 nt
Filed under: soil metagenome
Description: partial internal transcribed spacer 1
Source: RNAcentral